Molecule: ribosomal RNA, 497 nt
Filed under: uncultured bacterium
Lineage: Bacteria
Description: partial 16S ribosomal RNA
Rfam family: Bacterial small subunit ribosomal RNA
Source: RNAcentral
GAUGAACGCUGGCGGCGUGCCUAAUACAUGCAAGUCGAGCGAACAGACGAGGAGCUUGCUCCUCUGACGUUAGCGGCGGACGGGUGAGUAACACGUGGAUAACCUACCUAUAAGACUGGGAUAACUUCGGGAAACCGGAGCUAAUACCGGAUAAUAUAUUGAACCGCAUGGUUCAAUAGUGAAAGACGGUUUUGCUGUCACUUAUAGAUGGGUCCGCGCCGCAUUAGCUAGUUGGUAAGGUAACGGCUUACCAAGGCAACGAUGCGUAGCCGACCUGAGAGGGUGAUCGGCCACACUGGAACUGAGACACGGUCCAGACUCCUACGGGAGGCAGCAGCAGGGAAUCUUCCGCAAUGGGCGAAAGCCUGACGGAGCAACGCCGCGUGAGUGAUGAAGGUCUUCGGAUCGUAAAACUCUGUUAUUAGGGAAGAACAAAUGUGUAAGUAACUAUGCACGUCUUGACGGUACCUAAUCAGAAAGCCACGGCUAACUACGUG